RNAcentral lists this ribosomal RNA (468 nucleotides) under uncultured bacterium. RNAcentral describes it as "partial 16S ribosomal RNA". It matches the Rfam family "Bacterial small subunit ribosomal RNA", at positions 28 to 507 of the family's 1533-position model. The record is from RNAcentral.
GACGAACGCUGGCGGCGUGCUUAACACAUGCAAGUCGAACGGAAAGGCUCCAGCUUGCUGGAGUACUCGAGUGGCGAACGGGUGAGUAACACGUGGGUGAUCUGCCCUGCACUUCGGGAUAAGCCUGGGAAACUGGGUCUAAUACCGGAUAGGACCGCACUUUGGUGUGUGUGGUGGCAAGGUUUUUCUGGUGUGGGAUGAGCUCGCGGCCUAUCAGUUUGUUGGUGGGGUAAUGGCCUACCAAGACGGCGACGGGUAGCCGGCGUGAGAGGGUGGACGGGCACAUUGGGACUGGGAUACGGCCCAGACUCCUACGGGAGGCAGCAGUGGGGGAUAUUGCACAAUGGGGGAAAGCCUGAUGCAGCGACGGCGCGUGGGGGAUGAAGGCCUUCGGGUUGUAAUCGCCUUUCGCUAGGGACGAAGCUUUUUGUGACGGUACCUGGAGAAGAAGCACCGGCUAACUACGUG